Molecule: ribosomal RNA, 432 nt
Filed under: uncultured Clostridium sp.
Lineage: Bacteria; Bacillati; Bacillota; Clostridia; Eubacteriales; Clostridiaceae
Description: bacterial SSU rRNA
Rfam family: Bacterial small subunit ribosomal RNA
Source: RNAcentral
AACGCGAAGAACCUUACCUAGACUUGACAUCUCCUGCAUUACUCUUAAUCGAGGAAGUCCCUUCGGGGACAGGAUGACAGGUGGUGCAUGGUUGUCGUCAGCUCGUGUCGUGAGAUGUUGGGUUAAGUCCCGCAACGAGUGCAACCCUUAUUGUUAGUUGCCAUCAUUAAGUUGGGCACUCUAGCGAGACUGCCCGGGUUAACCGGGAGGAAGGUGGGGAUGACGUCAAAUCAUCAUGCCCCUUAUGUCUAGGGCUACACACGUGCUACAAUGGUCGGUACAAUAAGACGCAAGCCCGCGAGGGGGAGCAAAACUGGAAAACCGAUCUCAGUUCGGAUUGUAGGCUGAAACUCGCCUACAUGAAGCUGGAGUUGCUAGUAAUCGCGAAUCAGAAUGUCGCGGUGAAUACGUUCCCGGGUCUUGUACACACCG